Molecule: transfer RNA, 58 nt
Filed under: Felis catus (domestic cat)
Lineage: Eukaryota; Metazoa; Chordata; Mammalia; Carnivora; Felidae
Rfam family: tRNA
About the family: Transfer RNA (tRNA) molecules are approximately 80 nucleotides in length. Their secondary structure includes four short double-helical elements and three loops (D, anti-codon, and T loops). Further hydrogen bonds mediate the characteristic L-shaped molecular structure. tRNAs have two regions of fundamental functional importance: the anti-codon, which is responsible for specific mRNA codon recognition, and the 3' end, to which the tRNAs corresponding amino acid is attached (by aminoacyl-tRNA synthetases). tRNAs cope with the degeneracy of the genetic code in two manners: having more than one tRNA (with a specific anti-codon) for a particular amino acid; and 'wobble' base-pairing, i.e. permitting non-standard base-pairing at the 3rd anti-codon position.
Source: Rfam by way of RNAcentral
UGGCUCAGUCAGUAGAGCAUGUGACUCUCAACCUCGGGGUUGUGAGUUCAAGUCUCAC